RNAcentral lists this ribosomal RNA (402 nucleotides) under uncultured prokaryote. Its description in RNAcentral is "bacterial SSU rRNA". It matches the Rfam family "Bacterial small subunit ribosomal RNA", at positions 355 to 774 of the family's 1533-position model. The record is from RNAcentral.
UGGGGAAUCUUGGACAAUGGGGGAAACCCUGAUCCAGCCAUGCCGCGUGAGCGAUGAAGGCCUUAGGGUUGUAAAGCUCUUUCAGCGAGGAAGAUAAUGACGGUACUCGCAGAAGAAGCCCCGGCUAACUCCGUGCCAGCAGCCGCGGUAAUACGGAGGGGGCUAGCGUUGUUCGGAAUUACUGGGCGUAAAGCGCACGUAGGCGGAUCAGUCAGUUAGAGGUGAAAGCCCAGGGCUCAACCCUGGAACUGCCUUUAAUACUGCUGGUCUGGAGGUCGCGAGAGGUGAGUGGAAUUCCGAGGGUAGAGGUGAAAUUCGUAGUUAUUCGGAGGAACUCCAGUGGCGAAGGCGGCUCACUGGCUCGAUACUGACGCUGAGGUGCGAAAGCGUGGGGAGCAAACA